AGUAACUGUGGAGCUUGCAGAAGACAUGGUGUCCAGCCCCUUGUGUCAGAUCACCCUGAGAGAGAGAUCCCUGGUGUCUGAGUGGGACCAGCUCCAUUCACAAUGGGACAAGACUGAUUUAAACUGCAGAAGGGCUGAUUUUCUGCUGGCUUGGCCUGGACUGGAGCUGCUCAGGGUCUGCCAUCACUAAAAUCCAGAGUCCCAGCUGACACCACAGCAGGGACACCACCACAGCUGCCAUGGACUCAUCCUGCAGACGUUUUACAGCCUGAUGAGAGGUGGAUUUGUCUCUUCCAUCUGCUAAGAAUCCAGCUUAAGUGUGAGAGGAGGCUGCUGGUUUGCUCAGCUGGCCCUGCAUGACUGGGGUUUCACAUAUGUCCCCUUCUCAUGGGACUUCCAAAUGGAUGCCUAAGGCACUGCUGCCUCUCACUUUGAAGUUAUCAUCUCUGUUUCUCCUCUUUCAGCUCAACAGAGUUUUUUGGCAUUUCAGUGUGCAGUUGCUAAGUAGAGGCAUGGCCAAGAAGUCAGAACACCAGCAGUACCUUCAAAAUGACACUUCUGUACCUGUAAGAGCUGCUCAUGCUGCUCUUUUCACUCAGACUAGAACUGGGUUUCAAGCUCCCUGCAGUUCUCAGAGGUGCAGCCUGCUGUCUGGCCUCGUGGGCAUUCUUCAUCUCAUUUGUUUUCCUGCACUCACUGGCAGUACUUGCACCACCUUCUUCAUUUGCAGUGGGGUGAAGCUACUGCCUGAUUUAUCAGAGAUUCAGCAGGACCAGUACCUGUAUACAGAAAUGACAAGGAAAAGCUCCUGAAAAGGACACCACGGACCAGAGGAAUCCUGGACCCUGUGAGAGCUGCAUAAGUCCAGACCAUGGGAUUUCUCUGGCAGAAUUCCACAUGUGGGACCAGAUCCUCAGACAUCUCCUUGGGACUGUUGUUUGUUUUUAUCAGAGCAAGGCUGGGUGCUGUUUCCUCCCCAAAACUCUCAAGAGGCUGUUUCCUCUCCAGCUUUUUGUUUAUUUAAGGAAUCUCAGAGGCUGAAUUUCUCCUGAAAUAAUGCAGAUGAAGGAUUGGUGACUUCUCCAAACAGGUUUGGUGUAUGGAUCAUUUU
This is a long non-coding RNA of Serinus canaria (Common canary), 1111 nucleotides long. RefSeq lists it as uncharacterized. The record is from RefSeq and is a predicted model, not a curated record. Lineage: Eukaryota; Metazoa; Chordata; Aves; Passeriformes; Fringillidae. The transcript has 4 exons.